This is a long non-coding RNA of Diospyros lotus (date-plum), 386 nucleotides long. RefSeq lists it as uncharacterized. The transcript is spliced from 3 exons. Lineage: Eukaryota; Viridiplantae; Streptophyta; Magnoliopsida; Ericales; Ebenaceae. The record is from RefSeq and is a predicted model, not a curated record.
CGUUUGAAGCUCCAGGGAUUUGAACAAGUGUAGGGCGGAUGAGACAUUUCUCUCGCCAACAUCCUCUAUAAAUACGUGUCGGGAUCCUCACAACUGAAACCCAAGGCCUCGUUUGGUGAGCUCAGAGUUCUAGCAAGUAGCACAACCCCAUCGGAUCUUCUCUUCCUCGACUAAGCAAGAAGGAAAAUGGGCUGCCGCGAAGAAAACUGUGGCUGUGGCUCCGGCUGCACCUGCGGCCCCAGCUGCGGUUGCUCCGGCUGCAAAUGCUGCAAAUGAAACAGUGUGCCCUUGACGUGGCAGCUAUGGUUUAGCAUGCACGGAAUAAAGAUUUUAAUGUAUCAAGGUUUAUGUUAUGUCUAAAUAAGAUGGCCGUCAGCUUCUGCUAA